Molecule: ribosomal RNA, 254 nt
Filed under: uncultured bacterium
Lineage: Bacteria
Description: partial 16S ribosomal RNA
Rfam family: Bacterial small subunit ribosomal RNA
Source: RNAcentral
UACGGGGGGAGCAAGCGUUGUUCGGAUUUACUGGGCGUAAAGGGCGCGUAGGCGGCCACCGCAAGUCGACUGUGAAAUCUCCGGGCUUAACCCGGAAAGGUCAGCCGAUACUGCGGGGCUAGAGUGCAGAAGGGGCAACUGGAAUUCUCGGUGUAGCGGUGAAAUGCGUAGAUAUCGAGAGGAACACCUGCGGCGAAGGCGGGUUGCUUGGCUGACACUGACGCUGAGGCGCGAAAGCUAGGGGAGCGAACGGG